This 698-nucleotide long non-coding RNA is filed under the name Homo sapiens (human). RNAcentral's name for it is "non-protein coding lnc-ARAP2-12:1". The record is from RNAcentral. Lineage: Eukaryota; Metazoa; Chordata; Mammalia; Primates; Hominidae.
UUAUUUAGGUAGAGGAUGGUCACCAAUUCACUAAUAAUUUAUUCAUUUGUGUCCUUACCCAGGAGGCUGCCCACAAGACUAGUGAAUUUGUUUUCUUUCAAAGAACAAUAACCCUUAUAUCAUGCAGACCUCCUUGAUCAUGUCCAGACCUGGUGGAUCAGCCCUUGCCACACCCUGAACUAGACCUGUUCACAGAUGGAAGCAGCUUCAUAGACCAUGCAUGUUAUUGUGCUGGAUACACAGCCGUUAUAUCUCAAGGUACUGUGGAAGAAAAAGCAUUACUUCCAGAUACCUCAGCUCAACUGGCCAAUCUCAUUGCCCUUACGCAUAACCUGCAAUUGGGAUGAAGACCAAGUCCUAUUUAAGACAAGGAGGGAACUGGACCAGAUCAUCAACUAGCCCCUCAAUGGUUAAGACCCUAUGAGGUCCUUCUGACUACUCAUUCAUGUGUAAAGUUGGCCAGAGUUAAACCAUGGAUACAUUCUACAUGGAUAAAAAUUGCCCCUCCUCAGACUGGUCUGUCACAUAAUGGACCUGAAUGAACCUGUGAAACAACUGAAAACCUGAAGCUGCUUUUUAAGAAAAUCUACACAGAUAAGUAAAACCUUUUGUCAUUUAAUCAUGAGAUUCUGGCUAAUCCCCACAGUAAUAUAUGGGGUUAGGCUGUUUGCUGAAACUAAUCAUUUCCUACCAUGGGC